AAGGUUGUUCCAAUAAGUUCGAUACAAUCAUGACAUAACAAUAUUGUUGUCAACCUUGUAACAUUCAUGUUAUAUCAUGACUGUAUCAGACUUGUUAGAACAACCUUGUAACAUUCUUGUUAUAUCAUGACUGUAUCAAACUUGUUAGAACAACCUU
This is a non-coding RNA of Paramuricea clavata, 157 nucleotides long. The record is from the annotation of a GenBank genome assembly. Lineage: Eukaryota; Metazoa; Cnidaria; Anthozoa; Malacalcyonacea; Plexauridae.